RNAcentral lists this non-coding RNA (742 nucleotides) under Saussurella borneensis. Lineage: Eukaryota; Metazoa; Arthropoda; Insecta; Orthoptera; Tetrigidae. The record is from RNAcentral.
UUAAAGUUUUAUUCUUGCUUCCUUAUAAGUUUAAAUGAUGUUUUACAUACAAAGUUUUAUUUAAAUAUUUUUUUUGUAGUUAUUUGUUUUGAAUAUCAGGUAAUUCUGGAUUUGGUAAUUUUUUUUAGGAAAGGUCAAUGUCGUGCCAGCUGCCGCGGUUAUACGUUAUUUCCUUAUUUAUAUUUUUUGGUUUUAGAUAUUAUUUUUUUUGGAUAAUUUUUUUAAUUUUUUUGGUGGAAUAUAAUUUUGUAUUAUUUAUUCUUUUAUUAUUGUGAUUCUAAUUAGUCUAUUGUUUAAACUAGGAUUAGAUACCCUAUUAUUUUAGGUUAAUGAUUUUGCCAGGGUAGUAUGUUUUACUGAAACCCAAAGAAUUUGGCGGCUUUCAUUCCUUCUAGAGGAACCUACCCAUUAAAUGAUAUUACACGAUAUUUUCUACUAGUUUUAUUUGUUUGUAUAUUUCCGUUAACAGAAUAUCUUUAGAUGGUAUUUUCUUUAUUUUAAAUAAAAUUAUAUUUCAGGUCAAGGUGCAGCUUAUAAAUUAGUCUGAGGCGGGUUACAUUAAUUAUUUAUUUAUACGAAUAUUAAUUUUCAAAUUUAGUUGAAGGUGGAUUUAGUAGUAAAUUAAGGUUUUAUCCUUAAUUGAAUUGGUUCAUGGUUGUGUACAUAUCGCCCGUCGCUCUCAUUAUUAAGGUGAGAUAAGUCGUAACAAAGUAGGUGUACCGGAAGGUGUAUCUAGAUUAUC